Long non-coding RNA from Anopheles funestus (African malaria mosquito), 554 nucleotides. RefSeq lists it as uncharacterized. The record is from RefSeq and is a predicted model, not a curated record. NCBI's taxonomy places the organism in Eukaryota, Metazoa, Arthropoda, Insecta, Diptera, Culicidae. The transcript is spliced from 3 exons.
CAUUUUCUCAAACAGGGUAUGGUACUUGGUUCCUCGAAUAACUUCUGGCACAGACAUCUGAGGGCAUGACCGUCCAAGAAGAAAAUGUAGCCAUUGGUGUCAUCUAUUGACCACAAGUUAAAGUUUGGCGAUCCGUUAGAUACCGACCGAGUUAUAGGCAAAACUUGGUGCAAAAAUGAAGAAAAUUUUACAUUUUCUCAAACAGGGUAUGGAACUUGGUUCCUCGAAUAACUUCUGGCACAGACAUCUAAGGGCAUGGCUGUCCAAGAAGAAAAUGUAGCCAUUGGUGCCAUCUAUCGACCACAGGUUAAAGUUUGGCGAUCCGUUAGAUACCGACCGAGUUAUAGGCAAAACUUGGUGCAAAAAUGAAGAAAAUUUUACAUUUUCUCAAACAGGGUAUGGAACUUGGUUCCUCGAAUAACUUCUGGCACAGACAUCUAAGGGCAUGGCUGUCCAAGAAGAAAAUGUAGCCAUUGGUGCCAUCUAUCGACCACAGGUUAAAGUUUGGCGAUUCGUUGGAUAUCGACCGAGUUAUAGGCAAAACUUGGUGCAAA